RNAcentral lists this ribosomal RNA (799 nucleotides) under uncultured Glomus. Its description in RNAcentral is "SSU rRNA". It matches the Rfam family "Eukaryotic small subunit ribosomal RNA", at positions 314 to 1114 of the family's 1831-position model. The record is from RNAcentral. Lineage: Eukaryota; Fungi; Glomeromycota; Glomeromycetes; Glomerales; Glomeraceae.
AUCAACUUUCGAUGGUAGGAUAGAGACCUACCAUGGUGGUGACGGGUGACGGAGAAUUAGGGUUCGAUUCCGGGGAGGGAGCCUGAGAAACGGCUACCACAUCCAAGGAUGGCAGCAGGCGCGCAAAUUACCCAAUCCCGACACGGGGAGGUAGUGACAAUAAAUAACAAUACGGGGUUCUUUUGGAUUUCGUAAUUGGAAUGAGUACAAUUUAAAUCUCUUAACGAGGAACAAUUGGAGGGCAAGUCUGGUGCCAGCAGCCGCGGUAAUUCCAGCUCCAAUAGCGUAUAUUAAAGUUGUUGCAGUUAAAAAGCUCGUAGUUGAAUUUCGGGGUUAGUAGGCUGGUCGUGCCUCAGGUAUGCACUGGUCUUACUGAUUCCUCCUUCCUGAUGAACCGUAAUGCCAUUAAUUUGGUGUUGCGGGGAGUCUGGACUGUUACUUUGAAAAAAUUAGAGUGUUUAAAGCAGGCUAACGCUUGAAUACAUUAGCAUGGAAUAACGAAAUAGGACGUUCGAUCUUAUUUUGUUGGUUUCUAAGAUUGACGUAAUGAUUAAUAGGGAUAGUUGGGGGCAUUAGUAUUCAAUUGUCAGAGGUGAAAUUCUUGGAUUUAUUGAAGACUAACUACUGCGAAAGCAUUUGCCAAGGAUGUUUUCAUUAAUCAAGAACGAAAGUUAGGGGAUCGAAGACGAUCAGAUACCGUCGUAGUCUUAACCAUAAACUAUGCCGACUAGGGAUCGGAUGAUGUUAAUUUUUUAAUGACUCAUUCGGCGCCUUACGGGAAACCAAAGUGUUUGGGUUC